Molecule: unclassified non-coding RNA, 337 nt
Filed under: soil metagenome
Description: partial contains 5.8S ribosomal RNA, internal transcribed spacer 2, and large subunit ribosomal RNA
Rfam family: 5.8S ribosomal RNA (bases 1-120)
Source: RNAcentral
GAUGAAGAACGCAGCGAAAUGCGAUACGUAAUGUGAAUUGCAGAAUUCAGUGAAUCAUCGAGUCUUUGAACGCACAUUGCGCCCCCUGGUAUUCCAUGGGGCAUGCCUGUUCGAGCGUCAUUUGUACCCUCAAGCUUUGCUUGGUGUUGGGUGUUUGUCCCGCGUUGCGCGUGGACUCGCCUUAAAGCGAUUGGCAGCCGGCAUAUUGGCCUUGGAGCGCAGCACAUUUUGCGCUUCUAGUCAUGAAUGUUGGCGUCCAUUAAGCCUAUACAUUUGCUCUUGACCUCGGAUCAGGUAGGGAUACCCGCUGAACUUAAGCAUAUCAAUAAGCGGAGGA